RNAcentral lists this ribosomal RNA (253 nucleotides) under uncultured bacterium. RNAcentral describes it as "partial 16S ribosomal RNA". It matches the Rfam family "Bacterial small subunit ribosomal RNA", at positions 524 to 776 of the family's 1533-position model. The record is from RNAcentral.
UACGUAGGGGGCUAGCGUUGUCCGGAAUCAUUGGGCGUAAAGCGCGUGUAGGCGGUCCGGUAAGUCCGCUGUGAAAGUCGGGGGCUCAACCCUCGGAUGCCGGUGGAUACUGUCGGGCUUGAGUACGGAAGAGGCGAGUGGAAUUCCUGGUGUAGCGGUGAAAUGCGUAGAUAUCGGGAGGAACACCGGUGGCGAAGGCGGCUCUCUGGACCACUACUGACGCUGAGGCGCGAAAGCUAGGGGAGCAAACAGG